UACGUAGGGACCAAGCGUUGUUCGGAUUUACUGGGCGUAAAGGGCGCGUAGGCGGCUUAACAAGUCACUUGUGAAAUCUCCGGGCUUAACUCGGAACGGCCAAGUGAAACUGUCAAGCUAGAGUGCAGAAGGGGCAAUCGGAAUUCUUGGUGUAGCGGUGAAAUGCGUAGAUAUCAGGAGGAACACCAAUGGCGAAGGCAGCUCGCUGGAACGGUACUGACGCUGAGGCGCGAAAGCGUGGGGAGCGAACAGG
Molecule: ribosomal RNA, 253 nt
Filed under: uncultured bacterium
Lineage: Bacteria
Description: partial 16S ribosomal RNA
Rfam family: Bacterial small subunit ribosomal RNA
Source: RNAcentral